Molecule: ribosomal RNA, 305 nt
Filed under: uncultured bacterium
Lineage: Bacteria
Description: bacterial SSU rRNA
Rfam family: Bacterial small subunit ribosomal RNA
Source: RNAcentral
ACUCCUACGGGGCGCAGCAGUAGGGAAUCUUCGGCAAUGGGCGAAAGCCUGACCGAGCAACGCCGCGUGAAUGAAGAAGGCCUUCGGGUUGUAAAAUUCUGUUAUAAGGGAAGAAAGGUGAUAGGAGGAAAUGACUAUCAAUUGACGGUACCUUAUGAGAAAGCCACGGCUAACUACGUGCCAGCAGCCGCGGUAAUACGUAGGUGGCAAGCGUUAUCCGGAUUUAUUGGGUGUAAAGGGCGUGUAGGCGGGAAUGCAAGUCAGAUGUGAAAACUAUGGGCUCAACCCAUAGCCUGCAUUUGAAA